GCUAAUGGGUAAAAUGAUGGUGUUUAACACGUGAAAUUUAAAAUCGUCAUAACUUCUUACCCGGUUAUCGAAUUUGGGCAAAUUUUAUAUCAUUGGAAAUCUGAUUUAAUUUCCUACGCAAUGGCAGGCUCUAAACUGAAAAAUAAUAAGUGUUUUGGAAAUUUUAUAUAUGAAUACUCAUGCACUAGGACUUAGAUUAUGCUAGGGAAAUACGGAGUGUUACAAUAUCUCCCCC
Molecule: long non-coding RNA, 235 nt
Filed under: Capsicum annuum
Lineage: Eukaryota; Viridiplantae; Streptophyta; Magnoliopsida; Solanales; Solanaceae
Description: long non-coding RNA (CANN_LNC013827)
Source: RNAcentral